Molecule: ribosomal RNA, 264 nt
Filed under: uncultured bacterium
Lineage: Bacteria
Description: partial 16S ribosomal RNA
Rfam family: Bacterial small subunit ribosomal RNA
Source: RNAcentral
GUCCUUGCCGUAAACUAUGUAUACUUGGUGUAACUGGAAUCAACCCUAGUUGUGCCGUAGCAAACGCGUUAAGUAUACCGCCUGGGGAGUACAGUCGCAAGGCUGAAACUCAAAAGAAUUGACGGGGACCCCGCACAAGCAGUGGAGCAUGUGGUUUAAUUCGAUGCAACGCGAAGAACCUUACCCAGACUUGACAUACACAGGACAGUCGCAGAAAUGCGAUCUCUCUUCGGAGCCUGUGAACAGGUGCUGCAUGGCUGUCGU